GAAAUGCGAUAAGUAAUGUGAAUUGCAGAAUUCCGUGAAUCAUCGAAUCUUUGAACGCACAUUGCGCCCUCUGGUAUUCCGGGGGGCAUGCCUGUCCGAGCGUCAUUGCGAACCCCUCAAGCACGGCUUGUGUGAUGGGCCCUCCCGCGUCUUGGUCGUCAAGACGGGCCCGAAAUGCAGUGGUGGCUUCGCGGUUAUCCGAUCAGCCAGAGCGUAUGGGGACUUUCUCUCUGUCACACGCCCGCGGCGCGGACCGACGCCUGUCGACCUUCAUUCAUCGUUUUCUCGGUUGACCUCGGAUCAGGUAGGGAUACCCGCUGAACUUAAGC
RNAcentral lists this unclassified non-coding RNA (329 nucleotides) under plant metagenome. Its description in RNAcentral is "partial contains 5.8S ribosomal RNA, internal transcribed spacer 2, and large subunit ribosomal RNA". The stretch from base 1 to 105 matches the Rfam family "5.8S ribosomal RNA", at positions 50 to 154 of the family's 154-position model. The record is from RNAcentral.